AAGCCCCCUGAAGAUACCUUCGAGACUAGGAGGUCGAUAGGCGGAAGGUGUACGCAUGGCAACAUGUUCAGCUGAUCCGUACUAAUCUAUCGUGAGGCUUGACCUC
RNAcentral lists this ribosomal RNA (106 nucleotides) under Acidobacteriota bacterium. Its description in RNAcentral is "Acidobacteria bacterium (activated sludge metagenome) partial 23S ribosomal RNA". It matches the Rfam family "Bacterial large subunit ribosomal RNA", at positions 2820 to 2925 of the family's 2925-position model. The record is from RNAcentral. Lineage: Bacteria; Pseudomonadati; Acidobacteriota.